AACGAACGCUGGCGGCAGGCCUAACACAUGCAAGUCGAACGCCCUAGCAAUAGGGAGUGGCAGACGGGUGAGUAACGCGUGGGAACCUUCCCUGUGGUGCGGAAUAACUCGCCGAAAGGCGUGCUAAUACCGCAUAAGCCCGCAAGGGGAAAGAUUUAUCGCCAUAGGAUGGGCCCGCGUAGGAUUAGCUAGUUGGUGAGGUAAUGGCUCACCAAGGCGACGAUCCUUAGCUGGUUUGAGAGAAUGACCAGCCACACUGGGACUGAGACACGGCCCAGACUCCUACGGGAGGCAGCAGUGGGGAAUCUUGGACAAUGGGCGCAAGCCUGAUCCAGCCAUGCCGCGUGAGUGACGAA
Molecule: ribosomal RNA, 356 nt
Filed under: uncultured bacterium
Lineage: Bacteria
Description: bacterial SSU rRNA
Rfam family: Bacterial small subunit ribosomal RNA
Source: RNAcentral